Molecule: ribosomal RNA, 553 nt
Filed under: Colletotrichum temperatum (nom. inval.)
Lineage: Eukaryota; Fungi; Ascomycota; Sordariomycetes; Glomerellales; Glomerellaceae
Description: eukaryotic LSU rRNA
Rfam family: 5.8S ribosomal RNA (bases 203-356)
Source: RNAcentral
UCCGUUGGUGAACCAGCGGAGGGAUCAUUACUGAGUUUACGCUCUACAACCCUUUGUGAACAUACCUAUAACUGUUGCUUCGGCGGGUAGGGUCUCCGUGACCCUCCCGGCCUCCCGCCCCCGGGCGGGUCGGCGCCCGCCGGAGGAUAACCAAACUCUGAUUUAACGACGUUUCUUCUGAGUGGUACAAGCAAAUAAUCAAAACUUUUAACAACGGAUCUCUUGGUUCUGGCAUCGAUGAAGAACGCAGCGAAAUGCGAUAAGUAAUGUGAAUUGCAGAAUUCAGUGAAUCAUCGAAUCUUUGAACGCACAUUGCGCCCGCCAGCAUUCUGGCGGGCAUGCCUGUUCGAGCGUCAUUUCAACCCUCAAGCUCUGCUUGGUGUUGGGGCCCUACGGCUGACGUAGGCCCUCAAAGGUAGUGGCGGACCCUCCCGGAGCCUCCUUUGCGUAGUAACUUUACGUCUCGCACUGGGAUCCGGAGGGACUCUUGCCGUAAAACCCCCAAUUUUCCAAAGGUUGACCUCGGAUCAGGUAGGAAUACCCGCUGAACUUA